UACGUAGGGUGCAAGCGUUGUCCGGAAUUAUUGGGCGUAAAGCGCGCGCAGGCGGUCCUUUAAGUCUGAUGUGAAAGCCCACGGCUCAACCGUGGAGGGUCAUUGGAAACUGGGGGACUUGAGUGCAGAAGAGGAGAGUGGAAUUCCAGGUGUAGCGGUGAAAUGCGUAGAUAUCUGGAGGAAUACCGGUGGCGAAGGCGGCAUCCUGGACCAUUACUGACGCUGAAUCGCGAAAGCUAGGGGAGCAAACGGG
This 253-nucleotide ribosomal RNA is filed under the name uncultured bacterium. RNAcentral's name for it is "partial 16S ribosomal RNA". It matches the Rfam family "Bacterial small subunit ribosomal RNA", at positions 524 to 776 of the family's 1533-position model. The record is from RNAcentral.